CACUCCUACGGGAGGCAGCAGUGGGGAAUUUUGGACAAUGGGCGAAAGCCUGAUCCAGCAAUGCCGCGUGCAGGAUGAAGGCCUUCGGGUUGUAAACUGCUUUUGUACGGAACGAAAAAGCUCCUUCUAAUACAGGGGGCCCAUGACGGUACCGUAAGAAUAAGCACCGGCUAACUACGUGCCAGCAGCCGCGGUAAUACGUAGGGUGCGAGCGUUAAUCGGAAUUACUGGGCGUAAAGCGUGCGCAGGCGGUUAUGUAAGACAGAUGGGAAAUCCCCGGGCUCAACCUGGGAACUGCAUUUGUGACUGCAUGGCUAGAGUACGGUAGAGGGGGAUGGAAUUCCGCGUGUAGCAGUGAAAUGCGUAGAUAUGCGGAGGAACACCGAUGGCGAAGGCAAUCCCCUGGACCUGUACUGACGCUCAUGCACGAAAGCGUGGGGAGCAAACAGGAUUAGAAACCCCUGUAGUCCCAUG
RNAcentral lists this ribosomal RNA (474 nucleotides) under uncultured organism. RNAcentral describes it as "partial 16S ribosomal RNA". It matches the Rfam family "Bacterial small subunit ribosomal RNA", at positions 334 to 799 of the family's 1533-position model. The record is from RNAcentral.